This 465-nucleotide ribosomal RNA is filed under the name uncultured Klebsiella sp. RNAcentral describes it as "bacterial SSU rRNA". It matches the Rfam family "Bacterial small subunit ribosomal RNA", at positions 338 to 795 of the family's 1533-position model. Lineage: Bacteria; Pseudomonadati; Pseudomonadota; Gammaproteobacteria; Enterobacterales; Enterobacteriaceae. The record is from RNAcentral.
CCUACGGGUGGCAGCAGUGGGGAAUAUUGCACAAUGGGCGCAAGCCUGAUGCAGCCAUGCCGCGUGUGUGAAGAAGGCCUUCGGGUUGUAAAGCACUUUCAGCGGGGAGGAAGGCGUUAGGGUUAAUAACCUUGUCGAUUGACGUUACCCGCAGAAGAAGCACCGGCUAACUCCGUGCCAGCAGCCGCGGUAAUACGGAGGGUGCAAGCGUUAAUCGGAAUUACUGGGCGUAAAGCGCACGCAGGCGGUCUGUCAAGUCGGAUGUGAAGUCCCCGGGCUCAACCUGGGAACUGCAUUCGAAACUGGCAGGCUAGAGUCUUGUAGAGGGGGGUAGAAUUCCAGGUGUAGCGGUGAAAUGCGUAGAGAUCUGGAGGAAUACCGGUGGCGAAGGCGGCCCCCUGGACAAAGACUGACGCUCAGGUGCGAAAGCGUGGGGAGCAAACAGGAUUAGAUACCCCUGUAGUC